AGUGAACGCUGGCGGUAGGCCUAACACAUGCAAGUCGAACGGCAGCACAGUAAGAGCUUGCUCUUACGGGUGGCGAGUGGCGGACGGGUGAGGAAUACAUCGGAAUCUACUUUUUCGUGGGGGAUAACGUAGGGAAACUUACGCUAAUACCGCAUACGACCUACGGGUGAAAGCAGGGGAUCUUCGGACCUUGCGCGAUUGAAUGAGCCGAUGUCGGAUUAGCUAGUUGGCGGGGUAAAGGCCCACCAAGGCGACGAUCCGUAGCUGGUCUGAGAGGAUGAUCAGCCACACUGGAACUUAGACACGGUCCAGACUCCUACGGGAGGCCGCAGUGGGGAAUAUUGGACAAUGGGCGCAAGCCUGAUCCAGCCAUACCGCGUGGGUGAAGAAGGCCUUCGGGUUGUAAAGCCCUUUUGUUGGGAAAGAAAAGCAGCAGGUUAAUACCCCGCUGUUCUGACGGUACCCAAAGAAUAAGCACCGGCUAACUUCGUG
Molecule: ribosomal RNA, 492 nt
Filed under: uncultured bacterium
Lineage: Bacteria
Description: partial 16S ribosomal RNA
Rfam family: Bacterial small subunit ribosomal RNA
Source: RNAcentral